Molecule: long non-coding RNA, 1814 nt
Organism: Populus trichocarpa (black cottonwood)
Lineage: Eukaryota; Viridiplantae; Streptophyta; Magnoliopsida; Malpighiales; Salicaceae
Exons: 2
Source: RefSeq, a predicted model, not a curated record
UCUAAUAAGCCCACUCACGAAACCAAACUCUUUUCCCUGUUUGAUUACUUUUAAAUUUGUUUUCUUCUGUCUUUUUUUUCUUUGUUUUGAACCCAUGCUAGAUUCUGUGUACACUUGUUGUUGUUCAUGGGGUCCUAGGAGCUACUCCAUGUCAAAAAGACCUCUCUCUUUCCUCCUCCUUAAAGUAAAGGAAUUGUUGUGUGGAAAACAAAAAUUUCAAGCCCUUUUUACGCUACUUUUAAAACAUCUUAUUCAGACUUUGUUUUCCAUCCCUCGUUCAGGAAAAUUGCAAUCCCCACAUCAUUUUUCUUCAGGCCAUGUGAUCGCCUGCUAAUUUUAUCAAUCAAUCUGAUAAAAGAGAAGAAAAAGGUAAGGUCUGGUCCAUAAGGUCUUUGCUUUGCCAUUUAGUUAAAGGCAUAUUUAAAGUUCUUAUUGCAGGGUUUUUUUUUUAACAACAAGAAAAAGAAAGCUUUUCACUGUUGAGGUUUUCCUGCAGCUUUUCGGAGAAAUCUGAAGACACCGUAAAUCCGGCUGCGAGUGUACUCGUCCCCUUGGAUUUAUGGCACCUUCAUUAUCGAUUAAUUAGCUAAAUGUAGUUAAAAUCUAUAUUUAUGUUUAGAAUUGUGAUAGAAGUUGUUUAUUAGAGUGUUUUUUUACAUGAAAAUGCAUCAAAAUAAUAUUUAUAUUUUAUUUUUAACAUCAACACAUCAAAACAAUAAUAAAAAACAUAAAAAUAAUAAUUUAAAACUAGAAAAAACUUCAAAAAAAUUGAAAAACACAGUCAUUCCCUUCUAAGUUUUGUUUUAGUCAAUUAUGCCUAUAUUGAACAAAUUGAGUUCAGAUUAGUCCAAUUAAUGGUUUGUGGGAAAUUAUAAGAGAAAUUGAUUUCAAAUAUUAAUGCACAUAAUUGACGGGGACUAAUAACAAAUUAACAACCAUUAUCAAUUAGCCUUGAUUUGACAAAAAAGAGAGAGAGAGAGAGAGACACGGAGUUUAAUUUGAAGGCAGUGAUCCACAUAGAUUCUGUUUUUGAUUGACGAGAUUUUUAAAAAUGUUUUUAGUUUAAGAAAAUAUUAAGUUAAUAUAUUUUUUAAUGCUAUGCAUAUCCCUAUAUUAGUAGUAUUCACGGACUCACAUUUUCAUUGCUUCAAAGAUUUGUCGCUACCUAGCUUCUGCUUCUAAUCCUGGGAUUGAUUUCGAGGGGAGGUUUUGACAGAAGUUUUAUUAUGAUUUUUAUAAAGAUGAUUUGCGUAAUGAAAGAAAGGGUAGUCGCUGAAGUUGUGGGGUCUUAUAAUAGCUGGCUGCCUUGUGAAAACGUUGAAAUUCAUAGCAGGCUAGAAAAGCUCGAUCCCCGACAUUACUGAAAGGACAAAGCCACAACUUUUGGCCAUUUGCCAGAAUCGACUGAUGGGUGUUUACUAACAACAUCAGGUGAUAACAAUGCUAAAUGCUUGAACGAUUCGUAAAUUAAUCAAUCAGCUGCGUGACUAAAAUGUGCCUGCCAACUCGUGUGGAAUUAAUUGUCGUGGUGGGAUAGCUAAUCAGACAGACGCCCGGUUCAUGCAAGGAAAAAAGGUCAAGAUUCAGGCAGAGGAAGAUUUCAGAAUCCAUGGUUUCGCUUCAUUGGAUGCGUUGCAAAUUUGCAGCCUUAACUUUUUUUCCACUUAAGUUAGGUCUAGAACUGUAUUUGAUAGCUGACUAAUCACAAGUACACUGAAUGAUUGAUUUGAGUCGCGAGUAUUUUGCUAGCUCAUCAGAGAAACUAAUGAUCAUGCAUAGAACAAUCUUUAUAUUGCUUCCUUUCAAAGUGUUAA